CUAACGCUGACAGGGGCGAUUUC
Molecule: microRNA, 23 nt
Filed under: Bovine leukemia virus
Lineage: Riboviria; Pararnavirae; Artverviricota; Revtraviricetes; Ortervirales; Retroviridae
Description: BLV-miR-B3-3p
Source: RNAcentral